GGGAUUCCAUAUGCAGAUAGGGAGAAGGAGCCUGUGAUGUUUAAGCUGAGAUACAGUCAAAAUAUUCUUCGACUGCCAUGGAUUGAACCUGUGACCUUCUAACUGCAAGCAGAUGCUCUACCACGGAGCUAUUUUAUAGGGUUCAUUUGCAGUCACCCAUUCAAAUGCAAACCAAGAUAGCAGCUUUGGACUUUUGGAGCUCUUCGUCCCGGCCUUCUAGUGCAUCCCGCAGGGCUGCAUUCCCCUCUUUAUAGAGGGCAAUUUCUUUCUCAUAGCCCCACAGCUCACCCAUCAAAUCCCCUGGCCUCAGCGCUUGGGAUUCAAGGUCCAGCUUGGGAAACGGCUCCUUGACACCUCCUGGGAACUUCCUCAGACUUUG
Long non-coding RNA from Hemicordylus capensis (graceful crag lizard), 379 nucleotides. RefSeq lists it as uncharacterized. The transcript has 3 exons. The record is from RefSeq and is a predicted model, not a curated record. Lineage: Eukaryota; Metazoa; Chordata; Lepidosauria; Squamata; Cordylidae.